AUUGCACAAUGGGGGGAACCCUGAUGCAGCGACGCCGUGUGAGCGAUGAAGUAUUUCGGUAUGUAAAGCUCUAUCAGCAGGGAAGAAAAUGACGGUACCUGACUAAGAAGCCCCCGCUAACUACGUUCCAGCAACCGCGGUAAUACGUAGGGGGCAAGCGUUAUCCGGAUUUACUGGGUGGAAAGGGAGCGUAGACGGCAGUGCAAGUCUGAAGUGAAAGGCAAGGGCUCAACCCUUGGACUGCUUUGGAAACUGUGCUGCUGGAGUGUCGGAGAGGCAAAUGGAAUUCCUAGUGUAGCGGUGAAAUGCGUAGAUAUUAGGAGGAACACCAGUGGCGAAGGCGGCUUGCUGGACGAUGACUGACGUUGAGGCUCGAAAGCGUGGGGAGCAAACAG
RNAcentral lists this ribosomal RNA (395 nucleotides) under uncultured bacterium. RNAcentral describes it as "bacterial SSU rRNA". It matches the Rfam family "Bacterial small subunit ribosomal RNA", at positions 363 to 775 of the family's 1533-position model. The record is from RNAcentral.